AUGUGCCGAUGGCCAUCUGAUGCGUGUAGAUCCAUCCAACAGCACAAUAACGAAGGAAAGCGGUUAAAACAUUUGGUUCGAGCUGGUGGGUUUUGGACGGGGGAUCCUUCAAGGCGUGCAUGCAGAUGCAGCUGUGGGGUGGGGUGGGUGGUGCACGUAGGGAAAGCCGGGCACGACGGCGAGGCUGACGUUGCCAUCACGGGAGAGAGCGAGAGAAAAGAGGAGCAAAAGCGGACAGCAGGCAGCCCACGCCCACGCCACCCUGAUAAGACGAGAGGGACGGUGGAAGGAACAGUUGAGUCGCGUUGCGUUUGCGUUGCCCACCCCCCGCCGCAACUCUCUCAUCCGUCGCAUCCCCGCCCGCCCGCCCGCCCGCCUCCUACCGCCAUCCCAUCCAACUCCUCCUCCCCGCACACGCGCUUCGCGCCUCAAAUAGCACGGGCAAUGGCAGCGGCGCGGCCCUGUUGCAGCCGCAGCAGCCACCGGCAACCACGCCUCCUCGUCCUCGCCCUCACCGCCUUCGCGUCGCCGGCGCCGCUGCUGCUUUAG
This 549-nucleotide ribosomal RNA is filed under the name Triticum aestivum (bread wheat). RNAcentral's name for it is "partial small subunit ribosomal RNA". Lineage: Eukaryota; Viridiplantae; Streptophyta; Magnoliopsida; Poales; Poaceae. The record is from RNAcentral.